CUACGGGAGGCAGCAGUGAGGAAUAUUGGUCAAUGGAGGCAACUCUGAACCAGCCAUGCCGCGUGCAGGAUGACGGUCCUAUGGAUUGUAAACUGCUUUUGUACGGGAAGAAAUGUAAUUACGAGUAAUUAUUUGACGGUACCGUAAGAAUAAGGAUCGGCUAACUCCGUGCCAGCAGCCGCGGUAAUACGGAGGAUCCGAGCGUUAUCCGGAAUUAUUGGGUUUAAAGGGUUCGUAGGCGGCUUAGUAAGUCAGUGGUGAAAUCUUGCAGCUUAACUGUAAAAUUGCCGUUGAUACUGCUAAACUUGAAUAGUAUGGAAGUAAUUAGAAUAUGUAGUGUAGCGGUGAAAUGCUUAGAUAUUACAUGGAAUACCAAUUGCGAAGGCAGAUUACUACGUACUUAUUGACGCUGAUGAACGAAAGCGUGGGUAGCGAACAGGAUUAGAUACCCUGGUAGUCCACGCCGUAAACGAUGGAUACUAGCUGUUCGGUCUUCGGAUUGAGUGGGCUAAGCGAAAGUGAUAAGUAUCCCAC
RNAcentral lists this ribosomal RNA (534 nucleotides) under uncultured Flavobacterium sp. RNAcentral describes it as "bacterial SSU rRNA". It matches the Rfam family "Bacterial small subunit ribosomal RNA", at positions 339 to 872 of the family's 1533-position model. The record is from RNAcentral. Lineage: Bacteria; Pseudomonadati; Bacteroidota; Flavobacteriia; Flavobacteriales; Flavobacteriaceae.